RNAcentral lists this ribosomal RNA (253 nucleotides) under uncultured bacterium. RNAcentral's name for it is "partial 16S ribosomal RNA". It matches the Rfam family "Bacterial small subunit ribosomal RNA", at positions 524 to 776 of the family's 1533-position model. The record is from RNAcentral.
UACGUAGGGGGCUAGCGUUGUCCGGAAUCAUUGGGCGUAAAGCGCGUGUAGGCGGUCCGGUAAGUCCGCUGUGAAAGUCGAGGGCUCAACCCUCGAAUGCCGGUGGAUACUGUCGGGCUUGAGUACGGGAGAGGCGAGUGGAAUUCCUGGUGUAGCGGUGAAAUGCGCAGAUAUCAGGAAGAACACCAAUGGCGAAGGCAGCUCUCUGGGACGGUACUGACGCUGAGACGCGAAAGCGUGGGGAGCGAACAGG